CGACCACUCUUCCGCCGCGCAUCCAACUACGCUUGGAACUACCUAUAGUUUCAAUCUGCACCUGGUGUUCGUGACCGGCACGCACGUGCCAUAAGCCACGGAUCUACUAGCAACUGCAACCGAAGGGAUGGCAGUCUCAGAAGCUAAGGAGGCAGCGUGAGAGCUGGCGGAGCUGGCCGAUGUGAUCCCGCAACGAUGUCUGACAGGAGCGAAGAGCUGCUGGAAAGCGAAGCCGAAGAGUCCGAAGGCGCUUUAACAUUGAUGGCGCUGCCAGAUACUGUUGUCGAGGCAGGGUCACAGGUGAUGACAGCUACUGGCGCAGAGUCACUGGCGGAGACAGCGCCAUGGGGGAUCUCAAACGAUCGGCGUUGACCAGACAGAAGAGGAAAUUCAAGCCGAGCUGGGAGAAGGGUUACAAUGGUAUCACCAUUCUUCGGUCUGCUUUUGGCAUUUCUGCUUUCCUGAUAUGAUGAGUUUACCAAGUGAGGGCACCUUCAUUGGUCCUUUCAUUACAUGAUUGGACUCUGUAUUAUCCUAAAGCUCGUUCUGAGGGUUCCAGCUCAAAUUCCUUCCGAGCAAGUACUGCACCUGGUCGAUCGUUAGUUCCAUUACACACCCCGCCGUUGCUUUACCUCCUCCAUCUUUAGUAGCCCUGGUUUUGCCAUAAAUGGCCAAGCCGGACGCCGCUGCCGUGCUUUCAUUCAAAGCGGCCACCCGACGUUUGUCGACGUAACCCCUUUCUGUGGAAAGUAGAGAUGCGGAGGGAGUGCGGAUAGGGAUGCCAGCCUUGAAUGGUGUGUGCGUCGUCAGUCGGGAUGGUGAGCUGGUAAAGGAUGAUGCAAGAGGAAAUGGUGGCGGUGGAAUUGAGGAUGAACGAGCCUGGUUGCUGAGCAAGAACAAGCGGGGGAGGAGAGGAGAGUUGAGAAAAGGAUUAUAGUGGUCUUAGACAUGCUCGGCAUGGCCCUUAUGUCUCUUUAGAGUGUAUAGUUGAGAUCGAAUAGGUUGAUGCCCAGUCAAGGAGCGCUGAUAAAAGAACGCAAUAGAGUUUAUGAAACUGGCUUUUUAUUACUCC
This 1072-nucleotide small RNA is filed under the name Cryptococcus neoformans H99. RNAcentral's name for it is "Cryptococcus neoformans var. grubii H99 hypothetical RNA". Lineage: Eukaryota; Fungi; Basidiomycota; Tremellomycetes; Tremellales; Cryptococcaceae. The record is from RNAcentral.